UCCGUAGGCGGACUAAUAAGUCAGGGGUGAAAUCCAACAGCUUAACUGUUGAACUGCCUUUGAUACUGUUAGUCUUGAAUUAUAUGGAAGUAGAUAGAAUGCGUAGUGUAGCGGUGAAAUGCUUAGAGAUUACACAGAAUACCGAUUGCGAAGGCAGUCUACUACGUAUAUAUUGACGCUAAUGGACGAAAGCGUGGGGAGCGAACAGGAUUAGAUACCCUGGUAGUCC
Molecule: ribosomal RNA, 229 nt
Filed under: uncultured bacterium
Lineage: Bacteria
Description: partial 16S ribosomal RNA
Rfam family: Bacterial small subunit ribosomal RNA
Source: RNAcentral